AGCUUCCAGACUUUUUUUCCUGGUGGAAAGCGCUCCUGUUCCUUUUUUCAGCCCUGCACUACAAAGACCUGUCCCACCUCUUGGAAAAUUGAAUCCAAAUGAAGAUUCCUGCCAGACAAAAGGUGCCACCACAGAAAGGUCUUGCUGCUCAAGAAGUGCCCAGGCUGCCCCAACAACUGCACAUCAAAGCCAAAGGAUCCAGACUUUUUUUCCUGGUAGAAAGAGCUACUGUUCCCUUUUCUCCAACCCUGCUCCACAAUGGCCUGUACCACCUCUUGGAAAAUUGAAUCCAACUGAAGAUUUCUGCCAGACAAAAGGUGCCACCACAGAAAGGUCUUCCUGCCCAAGAAGUACCCAGGCUGCCCCAACAACUGCACCUCAAAGCCAAAGCUUCCAGACUUUUUUUCCUGGUAGAAAGAGCUGCUGUUCCCUUUUUGCAGCCCUGCGCUGCAAUUGCCUGUCUCACGUCAUGAAAAAUUUUCUACAUAUGAAGAUUC
Molecule: long non-coding RNA, 497 nt
Organism: Corapipo altera (White-ruffed manakin)
Lineage: Eukaryota; Metazoa; Chordata; Aves; Passeriformes; Pipridae
Exons: 4
Source: RefSeq, a predicted model, not a curated record